Molecule: long non-coding RNA, 238 nt
Filed under: Elaeis guineensis (African oil palm)
Lineage: Eukaryota; Viridiplantae; Streptophyta; Magnoliopsida; Arecales; Arecaceae
Description: long non-coding RNA (EGUI_LNC026066)
Source: RNAcentral
CUGGUAAAUUACCUCCCCCCACCAAUGUGAGCCAAGUGGCAACCCAUGAUUGGUCAGAACAUGGCUCCCAUGGAUCCGAUGGUUUAACAGUCCAGAUUUGAAGGUGGUUCACCUUAGAAAGUCGAUCCGUGACACAUGUCAAUAGCAAAUAGUUUGAUAAAGUCUGCCUCGACCUCAAACUAAUACUCUCUUUGACCAACCUUAUUUAAGUUCGGCCUCGAGAGUGGGGGGCAUCUGU